UACAGAGGGGGCAAGCGUUAUUCGGAAUUAUUGGGUGUAAAGGGCGCGUAGGCGGCUUUUCAAGUGACGGGUGAAAUCCCUCGGCUUAACCGAGGAACUGCCUGUCAGACUGGAAGGCUUGAGACCGGGAGAGGUGAGUGGAAUUCCCAGUGUAGCGGUGAAAUGCGUAGAUAUUGGGAGGAACACCAGUGGCGAAGGCGGCUCACUGGACCGGAACUGACGCUGAGGCGCGAAAGCGUGGGGAGCAAACAGG
This 253-nucleotide ribosomal RNA is filed under the name uncultured bacterium. RNAcentral describes it as "partial 16S ribosomal RNA". It matches the Rfam family "Bacterial small subunit ribosomal RNA", at positions 524 to 776 of the family's 1533-position model. The record is from RNAcentral.